RNAcentral lists this unclassified non-coding RNA (348 nucleotides) under soil metagenome. RNAcentral describes it as "partial contains 5.8S ribosomal RNA, internal transcribed spacer 2, and large subunit ribosomal RNA". The stretch from base 1 to 120 matches the Rfam family "5.8S ribosomal RNA", at positions 35 to 154 of the family's 154-position model. The record is from RNAcentral.
GAUGAAGAACGCAGCAAAAUGCGAUAAGUAAUGUGAAUUGCAGAAUUCAGUGAAUCAUCGAAUCUUUGAACGCACAUUGCGCCCGCCAGUACUCUGGCGGGCAUGCCUGUCCGAGCGUCAUUUCAACCCUCAGGGCCCUCCAGCAGGGCGCUGGUGUUGGGGAUCGGCAGUCCCAGCGGCUGCCGUCCCUGAAAUGUAGUGGCGGUCCCACCGUGACCUCCCCUGUGCAGUACAUCGCUCGCAGAGGGACAGCGGUGCGGCCACGCCGUAAAACGCCCAACUCUUCAAGGUUGACCUCGGAUCAGGUAGGGAUACCCGCUGAACUUAAGCAUAUCAAUAAGCGGAGGA